This 1032-nucleotide long non-coding RNA is filed under the name Capra hircus (goat). RNAcentral's name for it is "lncRNA (ENSCHIG00010027291.1)". The record is from RNAcentral. Lineage: Eukaryota; Metazoa; Chordata; Mammalia; Artiodactyla; Bovidae.
CCCCUCACCUUGAGGAUGUNNNNNNNNNNNNNNNNNNNNNNNNUGAUGCCAUUGAUGGUGAAGAUAAUAGAGGGCAGAGUAUUGACUGCAGAACAUGAAACAUAGUGCUGUUAGAGAGAGAGGGUUAGAGGUUGGCCAUGGUGAUCCUUGUUGUGUGUGGAGACUGGGAGUGACCCUAGGGCAUGACCCUUCACCUUGGAACCCACUGGCUUGGCACCAAUGAGCUUCUGUAUGUUAUUGACCAGUCUUCCUGGGCCUCAGAUAAGUGAUGUCCCAGUGUCCAUAAGGGCCGCACAGCCANNNNNNNNNNNNNNNNNNNNNNUUUUCAUGGUGAUGCUGAGAGACAAUGGAAGAAAGCGGGCAUCAAGGUCACUCUAGGUCUCCCCAGACUUGUCCCCUUCCCGACUGUCACCUAAAUAGCCUUUUGUCUCUCGCCCUUUUUCCCUUUGCUCUCGACACAGCACCUUUCUUGACAUCCUCGAAUACAGUGCUUGAAUACCCCAGGAUUUUUGUAUGUUGACACAAGCUGAUCUUCCGUCCUAGAAGACUCCACUCCACUUUGACAAGCAAAUUUCUCCUCAUCUCCCAGAUUCCACCUUAAUUGUAUUGUUUUCGGGAAGUCUCUCCCCCGGUGUUUAUCAGUCUCCUGUCUUGGUCUCUCUCUGUAGACCCCUCCUCAGGUCUGCUGCUGCUAACUUACUCAGUCGUGUCUGACUCUGUGUGACCUCAUAGAGGGCAGCCCACCAGGUUCCGCCAUCCCUGGGAUUGUCCAGGCAAGAGUACUGGAGUGGGUUGCCACUGCCUUCUCUUCUUCAUGUCUAGCAUGUACCAAAGUCACAAAGUGGGCGAGUCACUUCAUGUACAUCUGCCGCCUUAGAUGUGAGGGCGAGUUUUAUUCUCCUUGCCUCUCUUAAGUGCGUGGCACACAGUGGAUGCCCAAUGCUUGUCUGUUCAAUGAGUCUGUUCAAUGAGAAAACUGAGGAAACAAUAAGAAACCUCCAGAGAGCUGUAUCUGAUGAGGAACAAAUAACG